This 521-nucleotide ribosomal RNA is filed under the name Triticum aestivum (bread wheat). Its description in RNAcentral is "partial small subunit ribosomal RNA". Lineage: Eukaryota; Viridiplantae; Streptophyta; Magnoliopsida; Poales; Poaceae. The record is from RNAcentral.
CGCCGGCUUAUCCCCAGCUUGACACGCAACGGCCGAAGAUGCUCUUACAAAACACAAACACGCACAUCUGUGAUGGAGGUACUAGAGUAGAAGAGAAACGAAGUAAAACCACUACACCAAGGUAGAUCGAAGUUAGGGGCUGUUCGGCAUCGCUCCGCUCCACAGCUCCCGAAGCGGAGUUGGCGAAGCUGUAGGUCAAAAUGGUGGAGUUGCCAGUCACCCGCUCCGCAGAUUUCGGGAGCGGAUCAUUACCGAACAGGGCCUUAGUGGUGUGACAGCGAGCUUGGUUUGAAAGCUAUUGUUGGGACCAUAAUCCAUACGUGAAGUGAACACGUGGUCGAGAAAGUGACAACUAGAGGCGUUUAAUUGGGGUUUGCCGCGGCAGGCUGCCGCGCAUCUGGUCCCAACCACAUGCCACGGCCGAAUCAUCCAAUCUAAUCCACCCACUAGCCAGGUGUGAGCAGUACGUACAAAACACGGCUACACCAACUAUGUACACCACGCAGCUCAAAACAAUAAAC